This 253-nucleotide ribosomal RNA is filed under the name uncultured bacterium. RNAcentral describes it as "partial 16S ribosomal RNA". It matches the Rfam family "Bacterial small subunit ribosomal RNA", at positions 524 to 776 of the family's 1533-position model. The record is from RNAcentral.
UACGUAGGGUGCAAGCGUUAAUCGGAAUUACUGGGCGUAAAGCGUGCGCAGGCGGUUUUGUAAGUCUGUCGUGAAAUCCCCGGGCUCAACCUGGGAAUUGCGAUGGAGACUGCAAGGCUAGAAUCUGGCAGAGGGGGGUAGAAUUCCACGUGUAGCAGUGAAAUGCGUAGAGAUGUGGAGGAACACCGAUGGCGAAGGCAGCCCCCUGGGCUGAGAUUGACGCUCAGGCACGAAAGCGUGGGGAGCCAACAGG